GUCUGCUAGCGUGUGUGUCAGGCUCACAGCGUAUACUGUGCCCACUUGCCCAGUGCCACCACUCAUAUCCGGUGUCACAAUAGCUUGCAUUUAACAAAAAAAACUUUUUGGACUGUGUCACGAGCGUGGGCUAUAGGCCCAGCCGAGACAGUGGGGAGAGUGUGGAAGUGACAGGGUUAAUGACACCAGACCCCUGGUUACCUGUUGCUAGUCCCAGCAACCACUCAAUUAACCCCUGCAAUCCCUUCUACACUAUCCCCCUUAGUACUACUGCCACCACCAAGACUUUUAAACCCGGGUGUCUUAGGUUACCCCACACACAGGAGAAUUAUAG
Molecule: non-coding RNA, 334 nt
Organism: Pelobates cultripes (western spadefoot toad)
Lineage: Eukaryota; Metazoa; Chordata; Amphibia; Anura; Pelobatidae
Source: the annotation of a GenBank genome assembly